Molecule: ribosomal RNA, 494 nt
Filed under: uncultured bacterium
Lineage: Bacteria
Description: partial 16S ribosomal RNA
Rfam family: Bacterial small subunit ribosomal RNA
Source: RNAcentral
GACGAACGCUGGCGGCGUGCUUAACACAUGCAAGUCGAACGGUUAAGCGCCUUCCUUUUUGGUGGGUGUGGAUGAGUGGCGAACGGGUGAGUAACACGUGAGUAACCUGCCCCCUUCUUCUGGAUAACCGCAUGAAAGUGUGGCUAAUACGGGAUAUUCUGAGUCUGUCGCAUGAUGGGUCUGGGAAAGAUAUUGUUUCGGUGGGGGAUGGGCUCGCGGCCUAUCAGCUUGUUGGUGGGGUGAUGGCCUACCAAGGCGGUGACGGGUAGCCGGUCUGAGAGGGUGGACGGUCACACUGGGACUGAGACACGGCCCAGACUCAUACGGGAGGCAGCAGUGGGGAAUAUUGCAAAAUGGGCGCAAGCCUGAUGCAGCGACGCCGCGUGAGGGAUGGAGGCCUUCGGGUUGUGAACCUCUUUCGCCAGUGAAGCAGGCCUGCCUCGUUUGUGGGUGGGUUGACGGUAGCUGGAUAAGAAGCGUCGGCUAACUACGUG